This 849-nucleotide ribosomal RNA is filed under the name Triticum aestivum (bread wheat). RNAcentral describes it as "partial small subunit ribosomal RNA". Lineage: Eukaryota; Viridiplantae; Streptophyta; Magnoliopsida; Poales; Poaceae. The record is from RNAcentral.
AUGGUGGUCUGCGUUCCUGCCGCCGAGACCCCUGCGCUGGAGCUGGGCCCUCUCCACAGCUCGCUCUGCCUCGCGCCCGCCGCCUCGCUGGAACUUCCCCUUCCCGGCAUGGCGCGGGCCGACGCCAGGCGGCCGUCGGAGGGCCCCGAUCAGAUCCCAGGCAAUCCACCUCGCCGCAUUGCGCGCCUCGUCCAUCUGGAUCCCGCGCACCUCGCCGCGGUGACCGCGGCCCUUGGGCUCCACAUCGCCGGCGGCGCAAGCCCGAUCCCCUCUCUCGUGCAGCGCAGAGACGACGCCUCCGACUCCGGCUCCGGCUCCGGCUCCGGCUCCGACGACGACACCGGCCAUCCUAAUGACCGGCACCUCUGCUACCCACUCAUCCAGUUGCUGGAAACAGGGGGCGCCCGCAUCUUCUUCCCAGGCUCGGUUCCAGACCUUCCCGACGCUCCGCAAGGCGGCGGCCUGCACAGGAUAUCCGAUGCAUAUGGCAAUCCAUAUAUCCUCAAGGCAGGCACAGAAAGCUUUGCAGGUCCUUGUGAGCUGACCAAUGAAACGACAAGGACUUGGGUCAUUAGGCUCAAAAUCACUACCAAACUCGUUUCUUUAAGUCAGCAACAUCUGCAUGAGCAGAAUUGGGAAUUGUCUGAAGAAUGCUUUGCAGAGGUAGCUGGGCAAUCUUUAGAGAAGCUCCUUGAAGUUGCAUGUUCCUUCAGUGAUGCCAAUUGGUCUGAUGUCCAUAUCCACAACAGCUGUCUGUUUUUGACGCACUUGUUGAUGUCCUAUUCAAUAUACAAGACCUACGUUUCAGCAGAUCUGGUGAGGUUGCUGGUAUUAUUAAUAAGAUGGUGA